CACGCAGUAAACGAUGAUCACUAGCUGUUUGCGAUACACUGUAAGCGGCACAGCGAAAGCGUUAAGUGAUCCACCUGGGGAGUACGCCGGCAACGGUGAAACUCAAAGGAAUUGACGGGGGCCCGCACAAGCGGAGGAACAUGUGGUUUAAUUCGAUGAUACGCGAGGAACCUUACCCGGGUUUGAACGCAUUCGGACCGAGGUGGAAACACCUUUUCUAGCAAUAGCCGUUUGCGAGGUGC
This 242-nucleotide ribosomal RNA is filed under the name uncultured bacterium. RNAcentral describes it as "partial 16S ribosomal RNA". It matches the Rfam family "Bacterial small subunit ribosomal RNA", at positions 796 to 1041 of the family's 1533-position model. The record is from RNAcentral.